CCUGGGGUUCCUGGAUUUUGCGGGGAGGUGAGCUGUGUCAGCAGCCUGGGCUGAGACUGGAUAUGGGAUAGCAACAGAGUGUGCGAUGCACUGGGUCUCUGGUGCAGUCCUGGAUUCAGAUGACGCCUGUCAGAUACACAUCUGAAAUCCAGCCCAUGGGAACUUAAAGGAGUUCUUCAAACUAAUGACAGCUGUAGCAUUGGAGAAACCAAGAUCAGUCUGACAGACAGCAUAGACAGCAGAAAAUCCUCAGUAGCAGAAGCUAUUUAAAGUCCCUGGCCCAAUAUCGAAUCCUCAUAUUUGGCAGUAGCAGAUUUCAGCUGGAUUUUCUGGGCAGUGCACAGAAGGGAUGUAAAGAUGACAAAAGUAUCUCUCUUCAAGAACAACAUUUUUCCUUUGGGAACUACAAAGACUGGGUGCGUAGUUGGGUUAUGUGAUCAUGGAGGUGAUGGAGGUGCCAUGCUGAGCAGUAACAAUGAGCAGAGGAUAUCAUCCUGGAGGAAAUCUGUACCUUGCACUGUGCACAACCACUAUUUCUCAGCUCAAGGCUCUUGUUAGACCUGCUGCUGUUUUGGAAUAAAAACUGUAGUGAAAAUCA
Molecule: long non-coding RNA, 598 nt
Organism: Anser brachyrhynchus (Pink-footed goose)
Lineage: Eukaryota; Metazoa; Chordata; Aves; Anseriformes; Anatidae
Source: Ensembl